GCGGUUUAAAUCGCAAACAUUUAUUUCUCACAGUUCUGGAGGCUGGAACUCCACGACCAAGUCACUGGCAGAUUCAAUGGCUGUUUGCAGGUGGCCGUCUUCUUGUGGGGUCCUCGUGCGACAGAGAGCAGAGACAGAGCCGGUUCUCUGGGCCUCUUCUUAUCAGGCCACUAAUUUCAUCACGGGGCCGCACCCUCAGGACUCAACUACAUUCCACAGGUCCCCUCUCCUAAUGCCAUCACAUUGGGAGUUAAGGCUUCAACAUAUGUAUUUAGGGAGGACGCACACAUUUGGUCCGUAGCGAGAAUUCAGACUCAAGCCCUUGCCUCAGGCUCUAAUGCACCCAAACCCAGCAGCCACGCACCGCACACCCUGGAGAGCGUGCAGGGGACCCCUGGGUGGGUGAGGACAGGUUUUGGGACUCAGGAGCUAGUCCCUGGGUUUGUCUCGUCAGCCUUCGCCCACCCCUUGACCUCGAAUGGGCCUCCUGACCCAGAACAUGGGGAUCGGGGCCUGGGAAGGUUGAGGGAAGCAUUAAAUGAGGUGGCCCUUUGUCAUGUAUCUGGCACCCCAUAGGCGCUCAAAUGGUGCAACGAGGAUGCCACGGCCCUAACCUGCAAACACGUUUCCACGACUUCACGCCGGAGGCAGCCAAAACGCUUCCCGGCUCCCCUUCCCUGGGGCCCAUCCAAGUGGGGGUCUGGCUGUGACCCCUUCUUCACCCCGAACUUCCCCCAUGGCCACCACCUCCCCCUUCCCUCUCCCCAGCCCGCUGGGGUGGGCCGCUGGGAGGAAGCCCAUCUCUGACGUGGACCCCGCAUACAGGGGGUCGUGGGCCUGUCAGAUUGGGUCACCCGAAUCAAGGGUGAUGAUAAAACCUGUCCCUCCAAAUUAGGCCAGAGCCCCCGGAGCCCCGCUGAUUACAGCCUGUGCACCGAGGACAAAGGGUCCCUCUAGGGUCAUUAAUAUGGAUUGAGGCCCAUUGUUUUCUCAAAUUAGGCCACAGGGAGCGCUUCUUGGGGAAGCACAUAGCGGGUGAGGGUUCCUGGGGUCCCGCCCAGGGUCCUGCGAGGCCAGGCUGGAGAGCCAGCAAGGAAGAGGCCAGACCAUUCCCAGGCUGAAGGCUCGGGCUCGGGGGUGAGGCCAGGGCCAGUGGGCUUCCCCAGCUCACCUGCAGAAUGUUCUGGAGAAAUAAAAGGAUCCCUCUGAGUACCUGCUGGGACUGAGUGAGCAUUCUUAACUUACACAGAGGGUCUUGCUGUCUGCAAAGCGUUUUAGAUUCUCAAUGCCUUUCAACCUCCAGCACCUUGGGAAUUCCACUCCAAUUCUUAGUGUGGGAAAGUGAGGCUCCGAAAGGUCCAAAGGCUGUCUCGCUGGUUC
This 1380-nucleotide long non-coding RNA is filed under the name Homo sapiens (human). RNAcentral's name for it is "HSALNT0177614". The record is from RNAcentral. Lineage: Eukaryota; Metazoa; Chordata; Mammalia; Primates; Hominidae.